GCGGGUAUGGCGGAAUUGGUAGACGCACCAGAUUUAGGUUCUGGCGUGAAAACGUGGGGGUUCGAGUCCCUCUACCCGCACCA
This 83-nucleotide transfer RNA is filed under the name Mesorhizobium sp. Its description in RNAcentral is "tRNA-Leu". It matches the Rfam family "tRNA". Rfam says of the family: Transfer RNA (tRNA) molecules are approximately 80 nucleotides in length. Lineage: Bacteria; Pseudomonadati; Pseudomonadota; Alphaproteobacteria; Hyphomicrobiales; Phyllobacteriaceae. RNAcentral also lists the same sequence under 15 other names. The record is from RNAcentral.